RNAcentral lists this ribosomal RNA (280 nucleotides) under uncultured Lysobacterales bacterium. RNAcentral describes it as "uncultured Xanthomonadales bacterium partial 16S ribosomal RNA". It matches the Rfam family "Bacterial small subunit ribosomal RNA", at positions 504 to 783 of the family's 1533-position model. Lineage: Bacteria; Pseudomonadati; Pseudomonadota; Gammaproteobacteria; Lysobacterales. The record is from RNAcentral.
UGUGCCAGCAGCCGCGGUAAUACAGAGGGUGCAAGCGUUAAUCGGAUUUACUGGGCGUAAAGCGUGCGUAGGCGGCUAUUUAAGUCGGAUGUGAAAGCCCUGGGCUCAACCUGGGAACUGCAUUCGAUACUGGGUAGCUAGAGAUCGGUAGAGGGCGGCGGAAUUCCGGGUGUAGCGGUGAAAUGCGUAGAUAUCCGGAGGAACACCGAUGGCGAAGGCAACCGCCUGGGCCUGAUCUGACGCUGAGGCACGAAAGCGUGGGGAGCAAACAGGAUUAGAU